CUGCUUGGGACAAGCGGCUUCAGACAGUGUGUGUGUGUGUGUGUGUGUGUGUGUGCUAUAUACUGUAAAUGAAAGCAAUAUGUCGUACCAGUGUGUCUGACAUCAGAGUCUGUGAUCUGUUUGUUUUAGAAGCUGUCGUUUCUAAGGAGAAGACAAAGCUGAUACUUCCAAGAAGAGCUGUCCAAGUUAAAGUUGAAAAGACCACAAAGCCACAUGAACCAGUGAAAGAAGUCAAAACUAAGGAGCAUAAAGGUGCAAGUACGUCAUAAAAGAUGUGUUUUCCGAGAAAGAUAUUUAACAAAGUUAUCCAGCCUAUUACUUUUUGUGGUUUUGCAGUGAUUAGAUCUUUUUUUUUAACAGAGCUUGACAGAGAGAAGCUCAAAAUUUUGCUUAAGAGGGCUAAGGCCAGAUUUUCUAACUCUCAUAUUGGUGUUCUUGUGUUUAUUACACUGGUGUGAAUAAUUAAGACUAAGAAUACUCCACACAUAGCAAACAACAGCAAAUGUAUUCAGUAUGAGCAACACAAAAACUAAAAAUAGACUUUAAUGUAGCAGCAAUAUAGCUUUGCAUCAAUUCUCUAAUGGCCAGAUGUUUAUUCAUGCAGAACCUGAAAAAGAAAGGCCUAAACCUUUGGUGAAAAAGGACACUGAAAAAGAAAAGAUGAAAACUGCGCUAAAGAAAGAGGAGAAAAUGAAGGAUCUCAAAGUCCCUGCGGCUGAAGCACAGACAAAGCCCCGUCAUGCUGCAAAAAUGACCCCACCAGGGAGAGGUUCCUCUACUCAUCCAAAAGCCGAAACAGGUAGGCCAGCUCAGGUCGACACAAAGUCAACAAAGGAUGCAAAAGAACAAGAUGGGAAAACUCCAAAACCAUCAAAACCUGCUGGUGUGGAGGAGGCCAAGGCCAAGACAGAGCCAGCCAAAAUGCCCUACUUCCAGUGUGUCCUUCUUCGCUCCAAAAACACCAAGUACCCUCUAUACCCUUUCACCCCUGCUCAAAGUCCCAUCACCAAGCCCCAGCCGCCAGAAAGGAGAGCCAGGGCAGCUGGGCACUAAGACAGCGCCUCCUACAGGUCAAGUUAAUUUCUCACCGCAGCUGUCCCCUGCGACUGGAGGGCUGUUCUCUUGCUGGGGCCAUUGUGGGCCACAAGCAUCUUAAGAGGUCUUGACUGUUAACCAAGGAUGAUCUUGAACAAAGAGGAUGAAUGGUUCUUUAACUUUUUUGUUUUUCUUAAGACUGGUCGAGCUUCCAUCACUGUUGGUGUAUGAACCCCAUUCCUUUACAUGCAGCCGUGAUGAUGUCUUGCAGUGUUUGUCUCUUCCUCCGUUUCAGUGCUGUGUCAAAAAAGCACUUAUGAAAAUUCAAUUAUGAAAGAAGCAGAAUGCAUCACGAUUAUUAAUCCACUGUGGUGGUUUCGAUAUCAUGAGUGACACAGCUUAUCUUAUAUAGUUUGAUUUUUAUUUUUGACGGCCAAAAGAAUACGAAGUUUAACCGAAAAAAUCAAUUUAUUGUCAGCUUGUACGUAUAAAUAGACAUAUACUGUAUAUAAUUUAGUGUAAAUUUGCAGUUUACAGUUGGGGUUUCUCAAAUUCAAUUUGAGAUAUUUCAUCGUGCUAAUGCGCCUCAAUCUCAAAAUGUGCAAAGAGAAAUAUUAGUUUAUAUAUAAUAAUUUAUUUGCUAUAUGUGUACAUUUACUAAUUAAUUUGUAUGGUGGCAAUAUCUUAAAUUAUUGUCCACCGUGGCAAUAUCUUAAAUUGUUUUUAAACUAUAUAUUUAAUUAAUUUAUUGUAAAUGUGACAUGAUACUGUGGAAUGUGUGUCGUAGUGCAGGGAAUGUUGAAAACAUGUAUGUUAAUGUUUUUGACCCAAAAAGAAUCUGUGUGUGUGUGUGUGUGUGUGUGUGUGUGUGUGUGUGUGUGUGUGUGUGUGUGUGUGUGCGCGCCGCUCUAUUUGUGUUUAUCUGUAAAUUUAUGUCAGCUUCCUAUGUCUCGUUCUGCACCACUGUUUCCCAUAAGCCCUGUCUGGCAGCAAAAAAAAAAUCUUUGAAACAUGUUUUUGCUUGUUUAGAAGAAGAACUAUUUCUGGCUCAGCAUUUCUUAUUUGCGUUACACAUUUGGGAACCACAAACAAUAAAGCUGCUGUGGAAAGUUCGAAUUUGUUUUAC
This is a long non-coding RNA of Scleropages formosus (Asian bonytongue), 2161 nucleotides long. Lineage: Eukaryota; Metazoa; Chordata; Actinopteri; Osteoglossiformes; Osteoglossidae. The record is from Ensembl.